RNAcentral lists this long non-coding RNA (7334 nucleotides) under Vitis vinifera (wine grape). RNAcentral's name for it is "long non-coding RNA (VVIN_LNC003833)". The record is from RNAcentral. Lineage: Eukaryota; Viridiplantae; Streptophyta; Magnoliopsida; Vitales; Vitaceae.
UGGGUUUAUAUAGAGCCCAAGAAGCUUCUGGAGACUUCUACACUUAGCCAUUAGUGGGAAGAGUGUGGAAGGUUCUAGAGAUGCCUAGAGAAGUCCACACAACUCUACACUAUGGUGGAAGGCAUGAAAGGAGUCCAAAGCUUUCUAAAGAAUUCCAGAGGUCUCUUAUAUAUUAUUGUACAUAGGUUUGUACAUAGAAUGGAGUAGGGUGUUCUAGAAUAUUCUUGAAUUGUAAGGAACCCUCCAAGGUUCCAAAGAGUUCCAUUGGUACCAAUAAAUAGGUGAAGACCUCAUUUGGCCAAGGCACCAAGCAAGUGAGUUCUUAAAGCACUUGUAAAGGCUUUCUUGAGUAAUAAAAGCUUUCAUUCCUUAAGAGUUGCCUACUACGCCUUCUCAAGCUUCCGAGUUGUGAGCAUCUUAGCCUAGCAAGCUAAGCGUUGAGAGUAAGGCUGAAUUAGCAAGAUCAAACAUCUUGACUUGUCUAAGUGUCGCAUGAGCUUAGGAAACGACUAAGUCUGUGACAAGUGGUAUCAGAGCGCGGCUACGAAGCGGGCAUAGUAAAUGACGCAUGUCGGGCUCUAACGUGGAGGAGACUAGCGAAGAAACCCAUGUGAGGGAGAUUGAGCCUACUGCACGAGGCAGGGACAGGAAGGAUAAGUCUCGGGACGCCAUAACCAACAUGGAGGCAAGGCUAGCCAAGGUGGAGUUAGCCAUGGCAGACACUCGGGAAGGGGUGGACUUGAUCGAGCAAGGCAUGGAGAAGGGCUUAGAGGAUCUAAGGGAGUAGAUACAAGACUUUCGUGAGGGAGUGCUAGGCUCGCAAGUUUAGUCGGUGUCACACAAGGAGUUCAUGUCCUUCCAAGACAAGGUCAUGAACAUGUUCGCUAGCGUGGAGUCAAGGGUGGAGGCCCUGGCUAAGCGUAUGGAGGCCCGAGACCAGGAAAUUUGAUAAGAGCUAACCAUCUACAAGAAUGCGGUAUCAGCACGAGUCAUGGCCACUCAUGAGGCACCAAGGGUGGAGGUGCCCAAGCCACACAUGUUCAGUGGCAAGAGGGAUGCCAAGGAGCUGGAUAACUUCUUGUGGCACAUGGAGAGCUACUUUGAGGCUAUCACACUGACGGAUGAAGCCACUAAGGUACGCAUCGUAACCCUUUACCUCAAUGAAAAUGCUACUCUAUGGUGGCAUCGAAGGUUUGCCGACAUAGAAAAAUGGACGUGCACCAUAGACACAUGGGAUGCCUUUAAACGAGAAAUCAAAAGGCAAUUCUAUCCUGAAAAUGUGGCUUACCUAGCAAGGAAGAAUAUGAAACGUCUCAAGCACACGGGCUCGAUCCGUGAGUUUGUCAAAGAGUUCUCUAUGCUUAUGCUUGAGAUAGCUAACAUGUCCAAGGAGGAGCUACUAUUCAACUUCAUGGACAACUUGCAAAGCUGAGCCGAGCAAGAGUCAAGGAGACGUGGUGUCCAAGACCUAGCCACGGCAUGUAGAUUAUAGAAUGGGAGACUCCUCCAAGCCCAAGCCACCAUCCAAGGGUAACUAGGCCAAAGGUGGGAGAGACAAGGGAUCACGAGGCUACACUUCUAAGGAAUGAUCAAGCAAAGGCCCUAGUGGCAAGGAUGGCAAGGGUAAGGAUAAGCGGAAGGAGUUCACACCCAGGACCAAUUGCUUCCUAUUUGAUGGUCCACACUAGGCACGAGACUGUCCCAAGAGGAAAAACUUAAAUGCUAUGAUUGAGGAAAAUGAGAAGGAGGGCGAUGCUCAUGUGGGAUCGUUACAACUCCUAAAUGCCCUCAAGGCCAAGCCGGUACCUAAGACGCCUCAAAGCAAAAGGCUGAUGCAUGUGGAAGCCCUUAUAAAUGGGAAGGCCACCAAGGCCCUAGUGAACACUAGUGCCACUCAUACUUUUGUCUCGGAAAAUGAGACAAAGAGGCUGGAGCUCCAAGCAUCCAAGAAGGUUGGCUCAAGGCAGUCAAUUUAGCUGCCAAGCCAUCACAUGGAGUAGCUCGCGGGAUAACUAUGCACAUCGACUCAUGGGAAGGAAGGGUCGACUUCACAGUGGCAUCCAUGGACAACUUCAAGAUGGUACUAGGGAUGGACUUCUUACAAAGGGUCAAGGUUGUGCCACUACCUUUCCUACACUCAAUGGCUAUCCUAGAGGAAGAGAAGCCAUGCAUGGUCCCUACAGUCACCGAAGGUAUGCUCAAGACCCCUAUGUUAUCAGCUAUGCAAGUAAAGAAGGGCUUACAAAGGAAAGAGAUGACCUAUCUAGCCACCUUUAAGGAAGAAAUGGAUGACGGGUUGGGAGAACCCAUACCUAAGGAAAUCAAGGGGGUCCUUGAUGAGAUCAAGGGGGUCCUUGAUGUGUUCAAGGACGUGAUGUCGCCCAAGUUGCCUAAGAGACUUCCUCUUAGGAGAGAGGAAGAUCACAAGAUUGAGUUAGAGCCGGGAGCCAAGCCCCAUGUUAUGGGGCCAUACAGGAUGGCACCGCCUGAGCUAGAGGAGCUAAGGAGACAACUUAAGGAGUUUCUAGACGCAGGAUUCAUCCAACCAUCCAAGGCUCCCUAUUGCACCCCGGUCCUGUUUCAGAAGAAACAUGAUGGGCCCCUAUGGAUGUGUAUUGACUACCGGGCACUCAAUAAGGUGACGGUAAAGAACAAGUACCCUAUUCCACUCAUUGUUGACUUGUUCAAUCAACUUGGUAGGGCGAGAUACUUCACAAAGCUAGACUUAAGGUCGGGCUACUACCAAGUAAGGAUUGCAGAGGAAGACGAGCCAAAGACUACAUGUGUGACCAGGUAUGGCUCAUAUGAAUUCUUAGUGAUGCCCUUCGGCCUCACCAAUGCCCUAGCAACGUUCUGCACACUCAUGAAUAAGAUCUUCCACCCAUACUUAGACAAGUUAAUGGUGGUGUACUUGGAUGACAUAGCCAUCUACAGUAACACCCUGAAGGAGCACGUAGAGCAUUUAAAGAAGGUCUUUAAGAUCCUAAGGCAGAAUGAUUACUACUCAAAAAGGGCUAUUUGAUAGCUUGUAAUUAACUCUUUUAAACACUUUUGAGUAGUAAUUAUUGCCCUUUAACCCAAUUAACAUAUUAAGGACCUUUGCAAUCACUUCUAAUCACUUUGUGUAAGUUUUGGUGUUUUUGUUAGUAAUUUGAUCACCAAAGCAAUCCAAGAUGGAGGAGAGUUAUUUGGAAUCCAUGGCAAAGUAAUGGUAAGCUCAGGAACAUGAAGAAUCAGAGCUUUGAAGCCUUAAAGUCCUUUACCAUAACCAAUCCGGAAUGCAAGGAGGAGAAGUAAAGAGAGAAUCUACCUUGAAGCAUUCUUGAUGACAGUCAUUUCAGCCACUUUUGGAGUACUUCCUAAAGUCCAAUUUAUGCAUGCUUUAUGUCGUUUCGAAGAUCGGGAAGUCAAAAAUCCAAUGCUUCAAACGGUUCGCAAAUCAGAGUUGAAAUGAAGAAGUUAGAGCCAAUGGAAGCAAAUCACUCCAAGCUGAAGGCCAAUUUCGCAGGGCUGCGAAAUCAACCUUUGGCUGCGAAAUCAGCCUUCGGCUGCGAAAUGAUUUCGCAGCCAUCUUGUUCGUCUGCUAAAUUUCGCAGCCAUUUUGUGCGCCUGCGAAAUUCUCCCGAGUGCUUCUAGAUAUUUGCGACCAUCGUUUUUUGUUAUUUUGCCUCAGAUAUUUGUUGUCUAAAUGCCAAUUCUCUCCUUGUAAUCCACCAAUUAGAUGAUUCCUUAGCUGUUGAGCAAGGAUGCAGGGGUAAACAACCUGAUAUGUAUUGUUUUGUAAUUUUUCACUUUAAAAGGUCGGGGAACUUUCCCCAGGAGAGGAACUUAUGUAAAUUUUACACUUAGUGAAAUACGAAGUAUCUUUUGCUUUCUUUUUCUCUCUACUAUUUUCUAUUUUCUUAGUAGCCAAACAUCCUUGGAGGAUGAAAUCCCCAAGGAUGAGAGGCUAAAACCUUUUAGUUUCUUGAAGUAAUGGAUGCCAUGUGAAGCUCCCGUGUCAGGAUGGAGAUUUCCAAGCCAUGAAUGUAAGUAGCUGAGCGUCAUAAAUGUUUUCAUUCAAAGUAAAGCUUUUAAUCCCUCUGACUUGCUUUGAAUGGCCAAUACUUGAUAACCUUUUGGUCUCAGUGGAUUCUUAUUGUUAGAUCCACUGACGUUCAUUAGUUAUCUCCUACGAGCCAUUGUAUUGCAAGUCGAGGUGAUGACCUAUAUCAUUAAAAGAGCAUUUAUGAGGUUCAGCUACCCUUUUUGUAAGUUUUGAAGGACUAAAACUCAGUUGUUAAACACAUACCGGUUCGGGAAGUAAGCAUCACCUAAGUUGCUUCCCCAACUCGAGGUGAAAAGUUCCAAAAUCUCCAUUUUUACACGGUGAGUUAAGCAUGGCUAUCCAAAGCUUUGAGAAACUUCUUUUUCCAUCUUUUAAUCUAUUUGCAUGUUAGUUUAGUUUACAACACCUUCAUCUUUUUAUGUUUUCAUCUUAACCUAAUUUUUAUUAAGAAAAGUUCACUCCAUCCUCCGAACUUCAUCAGUUAAAGUAAAAACUCUUCCCAGUGUUCGAUCCUAGAGCCACUAUGCUAUAGUAGCUUUGCUACUUUAGUGUAAGGACGUUAGGUAUAAAUUUUGUUGAUACCCUUACAUGCCAAGCUACCAAGAGUCGGGUUAUCACAGAACGAGUUAUAUAUAAAGAUGGAGAAGUGCUCAUUUGCUAAGGAAGAAGUAAGCUUCCUAGGGCAUCGUAUCAGAGAUGGCAAGCUAAUGAUGGAUGACAGCAAGAUGAAAGCCAUCCAGGAAUGGGAUCCACCAACCAAGGUACCUCAACUCAAAUCUUCCUUGGUUUAGUUAAUUACUAAUGGCGGUUCAUCAAGGGUUAUUCGGCAAGGGAAACUCCACUCACUGAUCUUCUUAAGAAGAAUAAGGCAUGGGAAUGGGACGAAAGGUGCCAACAAGCCUUUGAGGAUAUGAAGAAGGUUGUGAUUGAGGAGCUAGUGUUGGCACUACCCGACCACACCAAGGUUUUUGAGGUACACACGGAUGCCUCAGACUUCGCUAUAGGAGGAGUCCUUAUACAAGAAAGACACCCAAUCGCCUUCGAGAGUCGCAAGCUAAAUGACACGGAGAGGCACUACACGAUGCAAGAAAAAGAGAUGACCGCCAUCGUCCAUUGCUUGCGCACCUAGAGGCACUAUCUUCUAGGGUCUCACUUCAUAGUGAAGACCGAUAACGUGGCCACUAGCUACUUCCAGACGCAGAAGAAGCUAAGUCCUAAACAAGCUAGGUGGCAAGACUUUUUGGCCGAGUUCGACUAUACGCUGGAGUAUAAGCCAGGAAGUGCUAAUCAUGUGGCCGACGCCCUAAGCCGUAAAGUGGAGCUAGCAUACAUGACGAGUCAGCCCCAAUGAUACAUAAUGAAUCUUCUAAGAGAGGGACUACAACAUGAUCUAGUGGUUAAGAGCCUUAUUACCCUGGCUCAUGAAGGAAAAACUAAGCGGCUCUGAGUGGAGGACAGCUUACUCUACACUAAGGGAAGAUGAAUCUAUGUGCCUAAGUGGGGGAACAUAAGACGGAAUCUGAUUAAGGAGUGCCAUGACACCAAGUGGCCUGGGCACCCUGGGCAACGACGCACGAGGGCACUACUUGAGUCAACUUACUAUUGGCCUCAAAUAUGGGAUGAAGUUGAGGCCUAUAUGAGGACUUGUCUUGUGUGCCAACAAGACAAUAUGAAGCAACGACAACCUAAAGGCUUGUUGGAACCACUAUCGAUAGCAGAGCGCCCAUGGGAUAGCGUCACCAUGGACUUCAUCAUCAGGCUACCCAAGUCGGAGGACAACGACUCUAUCAUAGUUGUAGUGGACAGGUUCUCUAAGUAUGCAACCUUCAUAGCAGCCCUGACUGACUACACUACGGAGGAGACAACAAGGCUAUUCUUAAAGCACAUAGUCAAGUAUUGGGGGUUGCCUAAGUAUAUCAUUAGUGAUCGUGACCCACGAUUCAUUGGGAAGUUUUGGAUGGAGCUCUUCAAGCUUAUAGGUUCGGAGCUUCACUUCUCCAAGAGCUUUCACCCACAGACUGAUGGUCAAACUGAGAGGGUGAACGCCUUACUGAAGCUAUACUUGAGGCACUUCGUGAGUGUCAACCAGAAAUAUUAGGCUAAGUUGCUAGACAUAGCCCAGUUCUCAUACAACCUGCAAAGGAGUGAGGCAACCAAUAAGAGCUCAUUCGAGCUAGCCACAGGGCAGCAACCGUUAACUCCUCACACUUCAACGAUAAGCUAUACAAGGAGAAGUCCAGUGGCUUUCAAGUUCGCGAAGGGGUAGCACAAGCAAGUUGAUAUAGCACACUCAUACUUGGACAAGGUCGCUAAGAAAAUGAAGAAGUGGGCUGACAAGAAGUGAUGUCACACAGAGUACAAGGUCGGAGACAUGGUACUUGUCAAGCUUUUUCCUUAACAAUUCAAAUCCCUAAGGCCGAUACAUAAGGGCCUUGUGAGGAGGUAUGAAAAACCCUUCCCCAUACUUGGAAAGGUCUGCAAGGUGUCCUAUAGAGUUUAGUUACCACCAAGGUUGAAGAUUCAUCCCGUCUUCCAUGGAAGUUACUUGAAACCAUAUCACAAAGACAAGGAUAAUCCAAGCCGAGGGUUUUCUAAGAGGGCACCUACAGCGAUUGUGACCUCCUAUGACAAGGAGGUGGAACACAUCAUUGCAUACCGACUCAUCAGGAGACGAGGUGUGCCUCCUGCUACGUAGUACUUAGUGAAAUGGAAAAGACUACCAAAGAGCGAGGCUAGCUAGGAGCUAGUAGAUGUACUAUGGCAGUUCCAGGAGUAGAUUGAGCGGUUCCAAGCAGAAGGCGCGACGAGGACGUCUGCAACCUAGGUGGGAGAAAGUGUCACAGGAUGUUUCAAAUGAGUCUCCCCAUGGGUUUAUAUAGAGUCCAAGAAGCUUCUGGAGACUUCUACACUUAGCCAUUAGUGGGAAGAGUGUGGAAGGUUCUAGAAAUGCCUAAAGAAGUCCACACAACUCUACACUAUGGUGGAAGGCAUGAGAGGAGUCCAAAGCUUUCUAGAGAAUUCCAAAGGUCUCUUGUAUAUUCUUGUACAUAGGUUUGUACGUAGAAUGAUGUAGGGUGUUCUAGAAUAUUCUUGAAUUGUAAGGAACCCUCCAAGGUUCCAAAGAGUUCCAUUGGUGCCUAUAAAUAGGUGAGGGCCUCAUUUGGCCAAGGCACCAAGCAAGUGAGUUCCUAAAGCACUUGUAAAGGCUUCCUUAAGUAAUAAAAGCUUCCAUUCCUUAAGAGUUGCCUACUACGCCUUCUCAAGCUUCCGAGUCAUGAGCAUCUUA